GGAUCCCAUCAGAACUCCGCAGUUAAGCGUGCUUGGGCGAGAGUAGUACUAGGAUGGGUGACCUCCCGGGAAGUCCUCGUGUUGCACCCCUUUUUAUUUUUUUAUUUUUUUUAGCCUAAAACGAGUUUAAACUUGGAAACCUCAUAACUUUUGAACCGUGAGGACCUACGUCGCCCAUAGCACCAUUUCGGAAAGCUCCAGAAACCAUAAUGGGCGGUGAAUAGGCGGGGCCAAUUUUUCGGGCUCAAAUUCAGCCGUUUUUACCCUCAAACGGGCUGCGGAAAGUUUUGGCACGCAAAAAAGAUCGAAAGCGGAUUCUCAGGGUGUUUUUGAUGCUUUCUGAACGCCAUUAACCUCGACGCACUUUUUCGCUCGAAACAAAAUGGCAAGAAAAUCAUGUGGGCCCCACGGCCUUAUACUUGGAUUGGCCGGGAAAAGGAUAUAUAGAAACGAGAGUGAUGUAUUGACGGGUGCGAUCAUACCAGCACUAAUGCACC
Molecule: ribosomal RNA, 497 nt
Filed under: Brassica rapa subsp. chinensis
Lineage: Eukaryota; Viridiplantae; Streptophyta; Magnoliopsida; Brassicales; Brassicaceae
Source: RNAcentral